This 253-nucleotide ribosomal RNA is filed under the name uncultured bacterium. RNAcentral describes it as "partial 16S ribosomal RNA". It matches the Rfam family "Bacterial small subunit ribosomal RNA", at positions 524 to 776 of the family's 1533-position model. The record is from RNAcentral.
UACGUAGGGUGCAAGCGUUGUCCGGAAUUAUUGGGCGUAAAGAGCGCGCAGGCGGUCGUUCAAGUCGAAUGUGAAAUCCCCCGGCUCAACUGGGGAGGGUCAUUCGAUACUGAUCGACUCGAAGGCAGGAGAGGGAAGCGGAAUUCCCGGUGUAGUGGUGAAAUGCGUAGAUAUCGGGAGGAACACCAGUGGCGAAGGCGGCUUCCUGGCCUGUUCUUGACGCUGAGGCGCGAAAGCUAGGGGAGCAAACGGG